This 1062-nucleotide ribosomal RNA is filed under the name Triticum aestivum (bread wheat). RNAcentral describes it as "partial small subunit ribosomal RNA". Lineage: Eukaryota; Viridiplantae; Streptophyta; Magnoliopsida; Poales; Poaceae. The record is from RNAcentral.
AUGAAAUAUCUGCCGAGUCUUCCGGAGGACAUCUGGUGGCAUAUACAUUCACUAAUGCCAAUGCGAGAUGCUGCUCGAGCUGCCUGCGUUUCUCGUACCUUUAUGCAUUCCUGGAGACGCCGUACCAGCCUCACCUUCAGUAAAAAAACACUAGGCAUUGGUGAAGAUGUGUGUGAAAAGGAUGGUAAAGCAAGAGAUCUCACCUACAAAGUUGACAGAAUUUGGAUAGAACACCCAGGCAUUGGUGUGAAGGAAGUCAGAAUUGAGUUCUAUGAUAACACGACCAGGGUCUGUUUUCUUGAUCGCUGGCUUCAGAUUGCCGUCACACCUGGGAUUGAAGAACUCAUUGUUAUUCCUUCUGUGGGCCAUAAAAGGUACAACUUCCCAUGGUCACUUUUAUCUGAAGGAAGUGGAAACUCGAUUCGGUGUCUGUUCCUUUCCAGGUGUGUGUUCUGUCCAACAGUCGGACUUGGCUUGAGAAGUUUGACUCAAAUUACGCUGUGUUAUGUCCAUAUUACAGGAAAUGAGCUAGCCUGCCUUCUGGACAAUUCUUUUGCUUUGCAGCAGUUGGGACUCAGCCAUUGCAGCAAGAUAAUUAGACUGAAGAUACCUUCCCUGCUGCAGCGGCUCAUCACCCUUGAAGUGUCUGCAUGUAAGAGGCUGCAGACAAUAGAGAUUGAAGCUCAAUGUUUAUCCAAAUUUUGGUUUAGUGGUGAGCGGCUAGUACAACUCUCGUUUGGAGAAGCAUUGCAAUUGAAGACCCUAGACAUGCACUGUCAUGGUGCUGUCUGUGAGGCUCGUGCCAAUCUUCCGUCCACCUUGCCAAAUCUUGAAACACUUUCUGUAUUUUCAUAUUUUGAGACGGUCAAUACACCGAUGGUCGGUAGCAAAUUUCCAUUCCUCAAGCACUUGACUGUUAAACUUGCUGCGGCCCCAGCCUAUGAUUAUUGUUCUCUGAUAUCAUUUUUUGAUGCUUCUCCUUCAUUGGAGACGUUCUUCUUGAAUGUAAGUUUGUUCACCCUGCAAAGAUAUCUUCCUUUCCAGAUCCUGCGCUUCAAAUAG